Potamilus streckersoni is the source of this 74-nucleotide non-coding RNA. Lineage: Eukaryota; Metazoa; Mollusca; Bivalvia; Unionida; Unionidae. The record is from the annotation of a GenBank genome assembly.
UGCUCAGGUGGACUAGUGGUUACAGCGUCCGCCUCUGAUGCGGGAGGUCAUGGGUUCUAUCCCCGGUCGAGUCA